This is a long non-coding RNA of Hipposideros armiger (great roundleaf bat), 867 nucleotides long. RefSeq lists it as uncharacterized. The record is from RefSeq and is a predicted model, not a curated record. NCBI's taxonomy places the organism in Eukaryota, Metazoa, Chordata, Mammalia, Chiroptera, Hipposideridae. The transcript has 2 exons.
AUAGUAGCCAACAAAUGCAUGGGGCCAAUCCCAUUCGUUAAAACGUCUUCCCCUGGGCGGAGAUCCGUUUUCCAAUGCAGGAGCGGUUGCUCCACAAGGUGGGGCCCGUGUACUUUGGGGAAGUAAACCCCAAGCAACUAGGAGGUGGGCGUCAGGGAGGCCAAGGAGGCCCCCGACCAAUCGCAACGCGAGAAGGAGCUGAUUGACGCGAGGGUUGGACUGCACCAAGGAGACGGAGCCCCAGGGCCGCCGUGCCCUCUGGGGCGGUUCUGAGGCUCUCCUGGUCCCGAGUCUCCUCUUUGCUUUCUUUCCCUCGCUUGUUGGGUCCAGCCCUGAGGCCCCUCUCUCGCCUUUUCUGCACAGUUUGGUACGAGGCAAACCAAGUGGGCUGCGAUCCGGUGAGCAAGACGCUGUCCCUGCUCGCUGUCACCCAUUCAACAGACCGGGGCGCCGCGCUGGGCCGGGAGCUCCCAAAAUCGGGGAGCAGGUGUCUAGGAGAAGAUAACGGAGAGAACUCAGUUCAGACCAGGAAGCUGCUAAAGGUUUUCUGAAGUAAGGAACCUUCAGGAUCGUGUUGGCCAUGCUGAAGAAUUUCAACUUCACUCUGAGAGCAGUGGAAGAAAGCUCCUUGAAAGGUCUCUUAAAGGUGAACAAAGAAAUUUACGUUAGACAAGAUGACUCUCCAAAUCGAAACGCUAAUCAGGGCAGAUGGGAGAAACUUUAAAUUCACAGAUUAGUAAUUUCACCCGGGUGGCCUCUGAUGGAGGGGGUCAAGGCUAUUCUUAAUUCCAUUUGGAGGGAAUUUUAAGUGAUUACAGAUCUUUUUGUAAGGCUAUUUGGCAGUCUAUUAAAAUUGUGUAUAUCCCA